Schistosoma mansoni is the source of this 45-nucleotide non-coding RNA. The record is from Rfam. Lineage: Eukaryota; Metazoa; Platyhelminthes; Trematoda; Strigeidida; Schistosomatidae.
AUCUAGCUGGUGCGUCUCAAAUAGGACGAAACGCACGUCCUAGAU